This 351-nucleotide unclassified non-coding RNA is filed under the name fungal sp. Its description in RNAcentral is "partial internal transcribed spacer region". The stretch from base 1 to 46 matches the Rfam family "Eukaryotic small subunit ribosomal RNA", at positions 1786 to 1831 of the family's 1831-position model. Lineage: Eukaryota; Fungi. The record is from RNAcentral.
AAGUCGUAACAAGGUAACCGUAGGUGAACCUGCGGUUGGAUCAUUAGUAAAAACCGUUCCCCGCAAGAUUACUGCGGGCACUUGGAGUAGUCUUUGUGGAUAAAAUAGGCUGUUGUGGAUCGAAAAGGUUUGUUAGCCAUUUGGAGUCCGCAUAUCACCUUUUCGGGAAACAGCAGAUCUACCACAUGGGUGAAACUUGUGGUACAUAUGUGAAAUGUAUGGGGUGUUGAUUUUGAAGCACGUUUGUGCUUCAGGUCAUCACUCUGUUCCACUUGAUUAUUAUAAUUUGUCUAAAUCGAAAUUUUAUAUUUAAUAUAAAAACAACUUUUGGCAACGGAUCUCUUGGCUCUC